AUUAUCUUUAGUUAGCAGCAGCAGUCCCGGGAGUUUAGGAUCACAUUCGUGAUCACUUUGGAGCACAGCCCCAAGGACAGCAGGCUGGCAAGGCAGAACUGGAAGUGCCUGUAGUGGAGAAAGUAGGGAAUAAAAACAACAAGUGGCAUGGGACAAGAGAGGAAGGGAUUAUUUAGGUCAGCCUUUAUGAAGAAAUUGAACACCGAAGUAAAUGAAUUCCAGAGAAUACUAAACAGCCUCCAAAUUGCUUUCAGUAGUCCCAACACAGAUUACCGCAUGACGAGGAGUGGGAAAUUAGAAUGCAUAUGCUUUUAGAGAUACGUUAUUAACCAAACAACUAUUUAUGGCUCUCGUUUUCACAGCAGCCCCACAGAGACCAGCCCCCAAGGCCUGCUGCCCAGCGCCCGCCGGGCUGCGCAUUCGGGUUGCCACAGCAACGCGGCGGCGGCUCAAGGCAGCCUGCAGGCGCGGGAAGGCCCGGUGCUGCGCCCACUGCUGCCUAUUGCAGCAGGCAUCGGGAUCCUGAAGGCUUGUGUCCUGUGCCAUUGUGUUUCAAGAGACCGUUAGGAGAGACAUUCACUCCCACAGCUUCUCGGCUGCCGACGUCCCACGCAGCUCAUGUAGCGCACAGCAGCAGUGAGCUGAAGGAACAGGUCUGCUCAUCUUGCAUUAAGACUGUAUGGUACCAAGCUAGCAUCAGCAGAGUUAGGAACGGUCAAGAAGCCAAGAAAGGGAACAAGAUGGACCUUCUCAAAUGAUUACAAGGUAUAUAUGCAUUAGUAAACCACAUUACAUCUGGGAGGAACAUUACCGUGCUCAGCUGCAAGGAGCAGGGGCAUUUCACUGCAAGAUACAAAGAAAACCUCAAAUACUGACUGAAAAUAAAACAUUUUCAUUUCAUUCAUUCAUUCACAU
This is a long non-coding RNA of Phasianus colchicus (ring-necked pheasant), 915 nucleotides long. RefSeq lists it as uncharacterized. The record is from RefSeq and is a predicted model, not a curated record. NCBI's taxonomy places the organism in Eukaryota, Metazoa, Chordata, Aves, Galliformes, Phasianidae.